This is a long non-coding RNA of Aethalodelphis obliquidens (Pacific white-sided dolphin), 412 nucleotides long. RefSeq lists it as uncharacterized. The record is from RefSeq and is a predicted model, not a curated record. Lineage: Eukaryota; Metazoa; Chordata; Mammalia; Artiodactyla; Delphinidae. The transcript has 2 exons.
UGGGCAGGGCUGGUUCCUCGGGGAGAGGCGGGGUGCUCGUCUCCCAGGUCCAGAGGGCUGCUGGCGCCCCUCGGCCGGCCCUGAUCCAGGAUGGCCUCAUCUGGAGACCCUUCCCUUUGUGACACCGGCCUAGGCCAGGCGGGUACAUCUCUUGUGGGGCCACCAGUGAAGCCACUACAACCUCCCACACAGACUCUGAUGAAUGUAGGUAUUAGUUGGGAUAUUUGUCUAUUUCAGUAGGUGAUAGACACACACCAGCAAAGAAUCCGGAAGUCCAGCAAGUCCCUCAGCAAGGUUUAUUCACGUACGGUAAACGGCGCAUGUAAAAAUAUACGAUUGAAUGAGCUGAGAUGCGUAGACACCCCGGGACCCUUCGCCACGUUCAGGACAGUGAACAUCUCCAUCAGCCAAA